GCGCCGGUGGUGUAAGGCGAACAUCGCAGCUCGGAAAGCAGAAGAUGCGGGUUCGAGUCUCGCCUGGUGCA
Molecule: non-coding RNA, 71 nt
Organism: Heligmosomoides polygyrus
Lineage: Eukaryota; Metazoa; Nematoda; Chromadorea; Rhabditida; Heligmosomidae
Source: Rfam